Edwardsiella ictaluri 93-146 is the source of this 195-nucleotide non-coding RNA. Lineage: Bacteria; Pseudomonadati; Pseudomonadota; Gammaproteobacteria; Enterobacterales; Hafniaceae. The record is from Rfam.
CACCGACAUCAGCGAUUCGUUUUGUGAGCCCUGACCGACGGCCAGAUAGGCAUUCAUGCCCAGCUCUUUCAUCUGCUGCUCGCCGAUCACCCGGGUGGUGACGGCGCCGGCAUAGUUGUCGGCCAGCUGACGCGCCUGAGAGGCCAGGUAUCCCGCGUUACAGAUAUUGGGAGGCAUGUUGCCGAGAUCUUUGGC